CUGUCACUCAAGACUUCCCCCUCUCCCUCCUGCUCCCACCAGAACAUUGACUACUAAAUUCUGCAAAGGGGCAUCAGGAUGAGUCAGACCCUGUGAGCGAGUGCCUGAGCCUCCCAGGUUUGGUGAGUCAAUUUCUGGGCAUAAUAAAUGGCACUCGAUCUCAGACGGGUCAGACAGUGGUCCUUGAUUCACUCUGCCUUUGUUUGGUGAUGUAUCUAUCAGGUCAGCCGUUGGGAACCCAGGAGUAAGAAUGUGAUUUUGCUCAGUGCUUGGUGUAGGAGCAUGGAAUCGGGGUAAAACCUGGUUAUUUGUGGGAAGAAGACAGUCCACCAAGCAGCCUUCAAGCGGCAGGGCAGAGCCGUAAGUGCAGAUGUUUGUCUCCUAGGUGACUGUAGGACCUGGAAAGCUGACAGUCAGUAUUAACCCUCACACGGGCAUGGGGAGACACAGUCACAUCUGAUAAUUAAGUGGCCUAAAUGAGACAAGAGUGCUACAAGUCUUCCUGCAGCCCAUGAGGAGCAGAGCUGGGGUCCAGGGUGGGGGACCCUGGGUUAGGAUGUGGCCACUGUGUCCUUUGGGUUAUCAAGGGAUGAUACAAUUUAUUUUGUACAGUUUGAAAGUCCCAGAACCCUGUCAAAUCCUGGCUGAUCCAUAACACCCAGGGCUUUGUGUUUCUCUCUGAAAUAAAACUUUUUAUCUUAAAAAUGAAAAUGAAUCAAAUACAGCAUGUUCUGACCACAGUGGCAUUCUGGGUCUUUCCCAGGUCUGUGAGGGGUGGGGGAGUCGUGGGUUCACUGGGGCAUGACAGGAAAGCAAACAACUUUUCAUUUUCCCCUCUCCUCCUGGUCCUCUGUUCUCUUGUGUUGAGGAUACACAGGAAACUGAAGCCACAACAAAAGGGCCACAUAACUGUGGAUAUUUAGGAAAGCCUGGCUGUGUAGCUAAGGAAAAAAUGUACUUGGAAUAGGGACCUUGACAUUCCAGAUGGCAGGAAAAAAAAGUCAAACACUGAGGCCUCAUGUUCUGUGGGGCCAUCUGAUGGCUUGUUUGGAAGUCCUUGCUACAGGUCUCCAGUCCAUAGUGAGAAGCCAGUUUCCUGGUGACCUGAAAGAAAAGACAGGUCACCCACAGGUGACUUCCAGUUCUUUCCCAGACUCCACUCAAUGGGUGCCAUAUUCUGUACCUCUCUGUCCUAUUGUUACUGAUGUGUUGAGGACCAGCAUCUGGAAGGGCCCUGGCAGCCUGAAUGAACCAGGAUAAGCCAUCUACCUGCAACGGGUCAACCGGAAGAUUUGUGCAAGGUGGUUCCAUUUCAAGAGGAACAAACACAUCCUACUAACUCCAUCUUCAGAGUCCUGACAUGAGGUUUAGAUUUAAACAGGGACACAGUGUGCACAGCAAGCAGGCUUGGUUCAGGUGCCAUCCUGCCCAUCACUGACCGCUGUUGUUAUUGGGGCUCCAGUGCGUCCUGCCAGGCAGUCUAACAGAGUGAAGUCUCUUCCUGGGAGACAAGUUUCCUGUCUGGCCACCAAGAGGACUCCCAGCUUUUCAUUCUCCCUGUAGGAGACGACAAACGGAAAUCCCAGUUCUUUGGAGUCCAUUGUCUUAGUAGUCCGAUGUUGAAGGGAGCACAAAUGUGCCUUUAAAAUAUCAUCAUUUCUGCCAGGAUUACACUGUUCUGCCAGCUGUCAGAUGCCCAGCAACAGGCUAAGUUAGAGCACAGAGAAUGUCUGGGUAUGGAAGUGGUAAGGAUUCAAGCAUUGUGCUGGCCUGCCCCUGGCACCUGGCAGAAUGCACUCAGGCUGUACCCUGGUCAGCCCAGGGUUCCAUGGCUGUGUAGUCUGCACGCAGGGCAAAAGGACCCCUUUAAAAGAAAGACCCUCUUUCUUUGCUCUUCUCUUCCCACUUUCUCUUUCCCACUGUCUUCCCUGGGGCAGGCAGGACUUUUCCUGUCUCCCUCUUCUCUCCUGUCUUCUCUCUGUCUCUGUGUCUCUUUACCUCUUU
This 2004-nucleotide long non-coding RNA is filed under the name Cricetulus griseus (Chinese hamster). RNAcentral's name for it is "lncRNA (ENSCGRG00015029370.1)". The record is from RNAcentral. Lineage: Eukaryota; Metazoa; Chordata; Mammalia; Rodentia; Cricetidae.